UAUUAAGGUAUUUUCCUAUGGUUAAUAUUCGUAUAUAUAUAUAUAUAUAUAUAUAUAUGUAUAUAAGCUAAGAAAAUUGAGGUUACAUAUUGAAUGCAUUUCAAAUAUUAAACCCAUCAAAUAAGAUUUUACAUAUUUAGAUUAAUAUGUAUUUUAUAGUAAUAUUUAUAUAAUAUAAAUAUAAACUAAUUAUAAAUUCAUAUACCUUUCAAUAUAAUUUAUAUUCAUAUUAUAUAAAUAAAUAUAGGAGAUAUAUUGAAAAAAGGUAUAUGAAAAGAAUAUUAUUCUAAGGAUCUGAAGUUUAUACUUAAAAUAAUGAUGAAUUCAUCUAAAUGGAAUAUAAUAUAUUCCAAUCAUAUCAUGAAAAUGAGUAAGAAAAAUUAAGUGAAAUGAAACAUCUGAGUAACUUAAGAAUAAAUCAACAGAGGCUAUAUUAGUAACGGUGAGUGAAAAUAUAGUAGUCAAAGAGUAUCAUAUAGAGUGAGAAUAAAGUAGAGUCAACUACUAAGACAAUAAUAGAGUAUAAAACUAGUACCGUGAGGGAAUUAGAUAAAAUAGAAUAAUAAAGAGCAGUUAUAGUAUAACGUACCUCUUGUAUAAUGGGCCAGUGAGUUAUAUAUAUUAGUGAGAUAAAAAAUCAUAAUAAAUAUAAAAUAUAUCAAUUUAUAAUUAAUAUAUAUAGGCCCGAAAGCAAACGAUCUACACAUGUCCAAGUAUUUUAAUAAUCCUUUUUAUUAAAAAUAUAAGGGAUAUAUUAAAAUGACUCAAUAGGUAGAUGUAGCAAUAUCUUCUAAAGAGGUGUGUGUAGUAGUGACAGACAAACCUGGUUUGCAGAUAGCUGGUUUUCUGCGAAAUAUAUUAUAGUAUAGCCUUUACUUUUUUAUAAACUGGUACAGCACUUAAAUGUUUUUGGGAGUAACAUUUCAUAAUAUUUAAAACUCGGAAACAGUAAUAAUACUUCUCUUAGAAAAAAGAGUUGAAAUCAUAAAAGUAAGGAGUCAGACUUAUUGCGAUAAGGUAGUAAGUCUAAAAGGAAACAACCUAGACUAUUUAAUGUAUGUCCCAAAUAUAAAGAUAGAAAUAUCUUAAUAAAAAAUUUAUUUUAGUGAACAUAAUCUAUGAGAUAAUAGAUAGACAAUCAGUCAGCGGGUUUAACAAUAAUCAUCUGUUAAAGGACAUGUAACAAUGCACUGAUAUGAUAUAAAUAUAAUUAUAUAAUUAUAUUUUUCUUAUAAGUAGAGAAGAUAUACGGGUCUAAAUUUAUAACAGUUUAAUAGAUAUAUGUAUAAACAUAUAUGGUAGCAGAAUAUAUAAUGAAUAAAUAUAUAUUAUCAAAUUGGGUAUAUAAUGAAUUAUAAAAAGAAUGCUGGCUUGAGUAACGAUAGGUAAUAUAGGAUUACCCUCUUAUAUUCAUAAGGUUUUAAAAUAAAGAACGGUCCCAAAAAUAUUUAUAGAAAUAUAAAGUUGAUGGGAGAUAGAACAAGAAAAUAAUAAAGAACCGUACUGUAGACCGACACAGGUAUGAUAAAGGAGAAUGAGAUAACUACUAUGAAUGAACUCGGCAAAAAGAAUUAAAACUAUAAUCGUGCGACUGUUUACCAAAAACACAUCCUACUGCGUAUUAGAAAUAAUAAGUAUAGUAGGUGAGAUCUGCCCAGUGUAUAUUUUAUAUAAAUAAAUUUAUUGUUUAGAUAAAUAAAUAAAAAUUAUAUAAACGGCGGUCUUAUCCUGAGGAUCCUAAGGUAGCGAAAUUCAUUGACACAUAAUUGGUGUCCUGCAUGAAUGAAUAAACGAUGCGAUAACUGUAUCCAUAGUAGACUCAGUGAAAUAGCACUCGCGGUGAAGAUGCCGUGUACCCGUAGAUUGACAAAAAGACCCUAUGCAGCUUUACUAUAACUUUACUCUGAAUUAAUAAAUUAUUUAUUACAGUUAGUAGGUAUUUAUAAAAUAUAUAUAUAAUAUAUUAUUUAAAAAUAAUGGAAAAACCUACAUUUAUAAUUUAUAAUUCUAAUUUAUAUCUUUUUCCUCAAAUGGAUAAGAAUUUUAACAAAGUAAAGUGGUUAGUUUCGAUGGGGCGUCGACAUCAGCGAAAGCAUCUGAUGUGUCUAAUAAUAUGAUAUUUUUCUUUAAAGAAAAAUAUAUAUUGUUUAAAAUUACCUAUAUUCAUUAUAGGAUAUAGGACCUUAUUAUUUUUAUAAUAAGUAGUUUAAUAUAAUAGAAACAUUUCAUACGUACAAUAGAACUAUUCGGAGAAUAGAAUAUAUUAUAUAUAUAUAAGCAAGGAUAACAACAUAAUUGUGCGAUAAUAAUAAUACAAACAAGUGUAAUUAGUACUUACGUAUAGUGUAGUGAACAGGCAUAAUCAAUUGAUAUGGAUGUCGAUAACGGAUAAAAGUUACGCUAGGGAUAACAGGGUAAUACCGCGUGAGAGUCGAUAUCGUCAGCGGUGUUUGCCACCUCGAUGUCGUCUAAACUCAUCCUCCUGGUUGAAGCAAUUAGGAAGGGUAGGACUGUUCGUCCUAUAAUGAGUUACUUGAGAUGGGUUAAUUACGACGUGAGUCAGUAAUGAUUUUAUCAUCUAUGGGAUACUUCUUAUUUGUUUCCUUAAGUGUACGCAAGGA
Molecule: ribosomal RNA, 2621 nt
Filed under: Candidozyma auris
Lineage: Eukaryota; Fungi; Ascomycota; Pichiomycetes; Serinales; Metschnikowiaceae
Description: [Candida] auris large subunit ribosomal RNA
Rfam family: Bacterial large subunit ribosomal RNA (bases 266-2621)
Source: RNAcentral